This 327-nucleotide small RNA is filed under the name Arabidopsis thaliana (thale cress). RNAcentral describes it as "ATSL140330". Lineage: Eukaryota; Viridiplantae; Streptophyta; Magnoliopsida; Brassicales; Brassicaceae. The record is from RNAcentral.
AUAGAUUUAUAGUAAACUAGAUUUUAACCCGCGUAUAUCGCGGGACGAUUUAUUUUUUAAAAGUAAUAUAUAUUAAAACUUGCAAAUUUUAUUUUUAUAAAAUAUUUAUAUUUUACAGUUUAUAAUUGUUAUUAAGUAACGGUAUACCACGAAUCCAUGAGAUAAUUGUUAAAAAACUGAAGUUUUAACCCCUAUUAAAACAGCAUAUUAAUAAUAUUUUAAAAUUUUAUAAAUAUUGAUUCAAAUACAUCCACCAUAUAACCCAAUUCCAAAAUAGAACUCGUUCUGUAAUUUUUUUACCGUCCCGUGAUUUUUAAAAAAAAUAGU